Molecule: long non-coding RNA, 1039 nt
Filed under: Monodelphis domestica (gray short-tailed opossum)
Lineage: Eukaryota; Metazoa; Chordata; Mammalia; Didelphimorphia; Didelphidae
Description: lncRNA (ENSMODG00000038471.1)
Source: RNAcentral
AAAGGAUUAUGUCACUGGAAGUAGUACAGUAUGUGAGUGAUGCUGCGUUUUGCAGUGCUGCUACAUACAGCGCUCCUCUCACUGACCACCAAUGAAAGAGGUGCCCCUUCUGGAAUUGUGGUGUGGGCAUGAUACAUGACCUCAGGGGACCUGCAUGUGGCCUGAGGGCCAUAGUUUGGGGACCCCUGGUCUAGGUUGAGCUGUUGACCAAUGGAGUCAUGCUGACUAGACCAAAAGGGGGCUGCUUUCAUUUAAUGAAGAGUACUUUAAGAAAACGGGAAGGUCUGUAAGCCAUAAAAUAAUGACUCUCUAAUGAUGGAAUUUCAAAACACUUCUCUACUCAGCGGAGGAGAUAUUUUUGAUCAGGAAAUUCUAUUUGAUGGUACUUGGAUCUCACCAGGUAGUGAUGUACCUCCCUACCUUCAUCCCCCUCAGAACAGAGAAAGAAAUACCAAGGACAUGCACAGUAAACAGAAAAACAUGAAGAUGCACACAGAAAGAGAUCUACUCACGAGAGGAAGCAGCUUUGCCCCUGAACCAGAAAGGAAUAUUGACUGGAUUCAAGACAGGACUUCCCAUAACAAGUCCAUCCUUUGGCACCAAAUAUUUUCUAUGUGUAUGCCUUAUUCCCAUCAGAAUCUAAGUGCAAAAUUACUCUUCCCCAGAACUGUGCAUAUUCUUGUGAAAAAAUGUUUCCUAGGCUCUUUUGGAAGAAAUGUUUUGUUUCAACAACUAUUACUCCACAAUCUUAGUAAAUGCCCUUUCUAAAAGCUAAUCAAGGCUCCUGGCUGAUUGUCAACAGAAAAAGUACUCUGGUAGGGACUCAUUAAUAAUUAUUCUAGAAAUCAAAAUCCUUCAAAGUUACCUCUCACAUCCUGAGAGGAGAAUUAGUCAACAAUUCUCUUGGGACACAAUCUUCAAGUGCUACUGGGGGUUGGGGAAAUAGUCCUGACAAAGGUUUUAUCCUUGCAGUUUUAACAUUUAUUAUAUAUAGUUGAUAUUUAAUAAAAAUUCAUUAAAUUGAUGAUCUAGCUAAGCU